Molecule: ribosomal RNA, 467 nt
Filed under: uncultured bacterium
Lineage: Bacteria
Description: partial 16S ribosomal RNA
Rfam family: Bacterial small subunit ribosomal RNA
Source: RNAcentral
GACGAACGCUGCGGCGUGCUUAACACCUGCAAGUCGAACGGAAAGGCCCUGCUUUUGUGGGGUGCUCGAGUGGCGAACGGGUGAGUAACACGUGAGUAACCUGCCCUUGACUUUGGGAUAACUUCAGGAAACUGGGGCUAAUACCGGAUAGGAGCUCCUGCUGCAUGGUGGGGGUUGGAAAGUUUCGGCGGUUGGGGAUGGACUCGCGGCUUAUCAGCUUGUUGGUGGGGUAGUGGCUUACCAAGGCUUUGACGGGUAGCCGGCCUGAGAGGGUGACCGGCCACAUUGGGACUGAGAUACGGCCCAGACUCCUACGGGAGGCAGCAGUGGGGAAUAUUGCACAAUGGGCGGAAGCCUGAUGCAGCAACGCCGCGUGCGGGAUGACGGCCUUCGGGUUGUAAACCGCUUUCGCCUGUGACGAAGCGUGAGUGACGGUAAUGGGUAAAGAAGCACCGGCUAACUACGUG